AAAACAUUCAGCUGCUCUGAGUGUGGGAGAAGAUUUAGGACCAAGGAACAUCUGAAGAUACACAUGAUAACUCACACAGGAGAGAAACCUUUCAGCUGCUCAGUCUGUAAGAAAUCUUUUAGACUGAGUAGCCAUUUAAAAUAUCACAUGAAACAACACACAGGAGAGGAAGCGUCUACUUCCUGUGUUAGUGACAUCAGAAAGCAGCAGGAGUGGAGCUCCAGUGUGGACCAGGAGCAGCCAGAGAAUCUCAGCCAGGUUGGAGCUCUCUGAACCAUAGAAAUAAAAUGGAUAGAAAGGCCAUUUCCAUUCAGAUCAACGUAGCAUAAUGGUCAGAGUGGCAGCCAUUUUUAUGUGUACCAUUGCCAUGGUAACGUAUAAACUUCAGCAUAAGCCGACUUCCGGCGAGUUGCGGAGCUGAGUCUAAAUGAGUCAAAUUAACUUCAUGCUUCAUCCACACAAAGUACACUGCUAUCGCCACGAGUAACGGCUUUAUUAGGAUCAUUUUCUGUGAACGAUGUGGCGAGUUGGUGACGUUAAGGCGGAGUUAGCAAGCUAAUGUUAGCCAAAUCACAAGUUGUUCUCCGGCUGGCUGGUUCCGCCGUGCUGCAUUGGUUACAGAGAAUGAGCUGAACAGCGGGCUGGGUGACCGCUGACCCGUUGUCACUGGGUCUAACUGUCCCUUCUCACUCACUGCAACUCCGAGAACAUCUCCCGAGCUGCGUUGGGCGGCUGUCCUCCAAGCGAGCUGCGACACAGAUCACGGCCUCACUGACGUGUAUUGUCACCAUGACAACUUACAACAAUCACCAUUUUGUUGUGUACCAAU
This is a long non-coding RNA of Sander lucioperca (pikeperch), 829 nucleotides long. RefSeq lists it as uncharacterized. NCBI's taxonomy places the organism in Eukaryota, Metazoa, Chordata, Actinopteri, Perciformes, Percidae. The transcript is spliced from 2 exons. The record is from RefSeq and is a predicted model, not a curated record.